CUUUACAUACUGAAGAACCCACAGACAUACCUCAACUACAAGAUCUGUCUGGCGGAGGUGUACCAGGACAAGCCGCUGAUUGCGAAACUACAGGGAAGGAAACACGACCCCAACGACCCCAAGGAAUGUUCUACAGUGUUCCGUGAGUU
This is a long non-coding RNA of Oncorhynchus kisutch (coho salmon), 149 nucleotides long. RefSeq lists it as uncharacterized. The record is from RefSeq and is a predicted model, not a curated record. NCBI's taxonomy places the organism in Eukaryota, Metazoa, Chordata, Actinopteri, Salmoniformes, Salmonidae. The transcript has 3 exons.